RNAcentral lists this ribosomal RNA (425 nucleotides) under uncultured bacterium. Its description in RNAcentral is "bacterial SSU rRNA". It matches the Rfam family "Bacterial small subunit ribosomal RNA", at positions 356 to 773 of the family's 1533-position model. The record is from RNAcentral.
AGGGAAUUUUCCACAAUGGACGAAAGUCUGAUGGAGCAACGCCGCGUGAACGAUGAAGGUCUUCGGAUUGUAAAGUUCUGUUGUCAGGGACGAAUAAGUACCGUUCGAACAGGGCGGUACCUUGACGGUACCUGACGAGAAAGCCACGGCUAACUACGUGCCAGCAGCCGCGGUAAUACGUAGGUGGCAAGCGUUGUCCGGAAUUAUUGGGCGUAAAGCGCGCGCAGGCGGCUAUGUAAGUCUGGUGUAAAAGCCCGGGGCGCAACCCCGGUUCGCAUCGGAAACUGUGUAGCUUGAGUGCAGAAGAGGAAAGCGGUAUUCCACGUGUAGCGGUGAAAUGCGUAGAGAUGUGGAGGAACACCAGUGGCGAAGGCGGCUUUCUGGUCUGUAACUGACGCUGAGGCGCGAAAGCGUGGGGAGCAAAC